This 902-nucleotide ribosomal RNA is filed under the name Leptographium procerum. Its description in RNAcentral is "LSU rRNA". It matches the Rfam family "Eukaryotic large subunit ribosomal RNA", at positions 38 to 964 of the family's 3401-position model. Lineage: Eukaryota; Fungi; Ascomycota; Sordariomycetes; Ophiostomatales; Ophiostomataceae. The record is from RNAcentral.
GCAUAUCAAUAAGCGGAGGAAAAGAAACCAACAGGGAUUGCCCCAGUAACGGCGAAGUGAAGCGGCAACAGCUCAGAAUUUGGAAUCUGGCCCCCAGGGCCCGAGUUGUAAUCUGGAGAGGAUGCUUCUGGCGCGGCGCCUUCCGAGUUCCCUGGAACGGGACGCCGGAGAGGGUGAGAGCCCCGUACGGUUGGACGCCUAGCCUUUGUGAAGCUCCUUCGACGAGUCGAGUAGUUUGGGAAUGCUGCUCAAAAUGGGAGGUAAAUUUCUUCUAAAGCUAAAUACCGGCCAGAGACCGAUAGCGCACAAGUAGAGUGAUCGAAAGAUGAAAAGCACUUUGAAAAGAGGGUCAAACAGUACGUGAAAUUGUUGAAAGGGAAGCGCCCGUGGCCAGACUUGUGCCCCGCGGACCACCCGGCGCCCUCAGCGCCGGUGCACUCCGCGGGGCGCAGGCCAGCAUCGGUUUUCCUAGGGGGAUAAAGGCGGCGGGAACGUGGCUCCUUCGGGAGUGUUAUAGCCCGUCGUGCCAUGCCCCUGGGGGGACCGAGGACCGCGCUUCGGCAAGGAUGCUGGCGUAAUGGCCACCGGCGACCCGUCUUGAAACACGGACCAAGGAGUCAAGCAUUGGGGCGAGUGUCUGGGUGCCAAACCCGCACGCGAAAUGAAAGUGAACGCAGGUGAGAGCUUCGGCGCAUCAUCGACCGAUCCUGAUGUUCUCGGAUGGAUUUGAGUAAGAGCCUUACCGCUUGGACCCGAAAGAUGGUGAACUAUGCCUGUAUAGGGUGAAGCCAGAGGAAACUCUGGUGGAGGCUCGCAGCGGUUCUGACGUGCAAAUCGAUCGUCAAAUAUGGGCAUGGGGGGCGAAAGACUAAUCGAACCAUCUAGUAGCUGGUUACCGCCGA